GCGAGGGAUCAUUACCGAGUUACCAACUCAAACCCUUGUGAUUUCUGUAUCUGUUGCUUCGGCAGGCGGGCCCAGGGCGGGCUCUAUCAUGCCUGCCGAAAUACCAAACUCUUCUAUCCUGCCCUCUGAAGAAAAGACAAAUAGUUAAAACUUUCAACAACGGAUCUCUUGGUUCUGGCAUCGAUGAAGAACGCAGCGAAAUGCGAUAAGUAAUGUGAAUUGCAGAAUUCAGUGAAUCAUCGAAUCUUUGAACGCACAUUGCGCCCGCCAGUAUCCUGGCGGGCAUGCCUGUUCGAGCGUCAUUUCAACCCUCAGGACCUCCUGGUGUUGGGGCGUCACGGCCACCGUGAGCCCUCAAAGUCAGUGGCGGGCUCUGUCACACACCGAGCGUAGUAAUCUCUCGCUUAGGGGUGUGCCUAGGCGCGGCCUUUUGUGACACAUAUCAAGUUGACCUCGGAUCAGGUAGGAAUACCCGCUGAACUUAA
This 485-nucleotide ribosomal RNA is filed under the name uncultured fungus. RNAcentral describes it as "eukaryotic LSU rRNA". The stretch from base 149 to 302 matches the Rfam family "5.8S ribosomal RNA". The record is from RNAcentral. Lineage: Eukaryota; Fungi.